AGCUUUGUGGCGCAGCGGAAGCGCGCCGGGCUCAUAACCCGGAGGACUGUGGAUCGAAACCACACAAAGCUA
RNAcentral lists this transfer RNA (72 nucleotides) under Lentithecium fluviatile CBS 122367. It matches the Rfam family "tRNA". From Rfam's summary of the family: Transfer RNA (tRNA) molecules are approximately 80 nucleotides in length. Their secondary structure includes four short double-helical elements and three loops (D, anti-codon, and T loops). The record is from Rfam by way of RNAcentral. Lineage: Eukaryota; Fungi; Ascomycota; Dothideomycetes; Pleosporales; Lentitheciaceae.